AACGCUGGCGGCGCGCCUAAUACAUGCAAGUCGAGCGAGAAGGUGUAGCAAUACACUUGUGAAGCGGCGAACGGGUGAGGAAUGCAUGGGUAACCUACCCUCGAGUGGGGAAUAACUAGCCGAAAGGUUAGCUAAUACCGCAUACGUUUCCGGAACUUCGGUUUCGGAAAGAAAGCAAUACCGUGGGUAUUGCGCUCCUGGAUGGGCUCAUGUCCUAUCAGCUUGUUGGUGAGGUAACGGCUCACCAAGGCUUCGACGGGUAGCUGGUCUGAGAGGACGAUCAGCCACACUGGCACUGCGACACGGGCCAGACUCCUACGGGAGGCAGCAGUAAGGAAUAUUGCGCAAUGGACGAAAGUCUGACGCAGCGACGCCGCGUGGGGGAUGAAGGUCUUCGGAUUGUAAACCCCUUUCGGGAGGGAAGAUGGAGUGGGUAACCACUUGGACGGUACCUCCAGAAGCAGCCACGGCUAACUUCGUG
This 481-nucleotide ribosomal RNA is filed under the name uncultured bacterium. RNAcentral describes it as "bacterial SSU rRNA". It matches the Rfam family "Bacterial small subunit ribosomal RNA", at positions 32 to 507 of the family's 1533-position model. The record is from RNAcentral.